This is a long non-coding RNA of Glycine soja, 961 nucleotides long. RefSeq lists it as uncharacterized. The record is from RefSeq and is a predicted model, not a curated record. Lineage: Eukaryota; Viridiplantae; Streptophyta; Magnoliopsida; Fabales; Fabaceae. The transcript has 2 exons.
UUAUUAGAAGGGGCAAGCAAGAAUUAUUUUCUUUUCACAAAGAAAGGAGAAAAAGUACUCACACUCACUUUAUCAGAAGAUCAGUGUUCCAAACACCGUUGUUACUUGUGCCCUCGUAAAUCCUCGUGCUCAUUUCAUCAAUUGCCACAUUUAUUCAAAGUUCAAACUCUAGGCAAAGUUCUUCGCAGUGAAGAGGAACCUAAGCAGAAGAUUCAAGAUCUGUAAUGUUUCCUGUGAGAGAGCCAAAGUUAUAGAUCUGAUCUCAUGGGAACAGUUGAAGAGACAACAACAUGUAUUUUCUUUUCAGUCUUUGCGUGAACCUUUCAGCAACUGUGAUUUCCUUGAUUAAUCCUGUUUUGUGUUUUCCACUCCCCUGCCUCUUCGUUAAAAUCCUUUUAUUGAAAGAUAUGGUUAUUUAAUUUAUGAAUGUCGUUUUGUUUAUUUUCUUUUUCCGUUCACUUUCACUCAAUUACUCCAUUGUUGAUAAAGGUAUGGCAAUGGACCGUGAUUGCCAUGUAAAGGAAGAGGCCGUGCAUGACCGCAUUUGCGCCCAGGAACAAAAGAUGAGUUUUUCAUUCUCAAGCGCAAAUAACAACUAAGAAGUCCUUUCUUCUUUGUUUUUUUGUUUUUCUUUUUCUUUUACCUUAAUAUGAAAAAAAUCCAAAAUAGGAUGUUCUAAAGUAUGAUAUUUUUUUAUCUUUUGUAGGAUCCGGAUGGUUACAGGAUAUAGACUCUCAUAUAUGUUAAUUAUCUUUAUAUGAUUUUUUUUUAGAUUAUGUAAGAUUUUGCCUUAAAAAUUGUUGAAAAGAUGGAAGACGAACAACAUGAAAUGAAGUGAAUAAGUUUAAUGCUUGUUUCAUACUCUCAAGAGUUGUUGAAAAGAUGGAAGGCGAAUAACAUGAAAUGAGGUUAACAAGUUCACUUCUUGCUUCAUAAUGAUACACUUCACAUUUGUUUCUUC